UAUUAGGGCGUAAAGCGCGCGCAGGCGGCUUCUUAAGUCCAUCUUAAAAGUGCGGGGCUUAACCCCGUGAUGGGAUGGAAACUGAGAGGCUGGAGUAUCGGAGAGGAAAGUGGAAUUCCUAGUGUAGCGGUGAAAUGCGUAGAGAUUAGGAAGAACACCGGUGGCGAAGGCGACUUUCUGGACGACAACUGACGCUGAGGCGCGAAAGCGUGGGGAGCAA
Molecule: ribosomal RNA, 220 nt
Filed under: uncultured bacterium
Lineage: Bacteria
Description: partial 16S ribosomal RNA
Rfam family: Bacterial small subunit ribosomal RNA
Source: RNAcentral